Struthio camelus australis is the source of this 2614-nucleotide long non-coding RNA. RefSeq lists it as uncharacterized. Lineage: Eukaryota; Metazoa; Chordata; Aves; Struthioniformes; Struthionidae. The record is from RefSeq and is a predicted model, not a curated record.
UAUUCUCCAUGCAGGAAGAUAGCACUGCACUUAUCGGACUGAUCUUUAAAUUGCAAGCAUUGCGCAGCAGAGACUGUAACGAACCAUGAGACGCCGUGAAAGGGGGAAGCCUGGCCUAUAGGAGAGACUGGAGCUGGAAACACCUGCAGUUCAUUGCCCUCUGGAGAAGAAUCUGUAUGUGCCUGAGAUUCAUGCAGAGGUUCUGCAGGAAAUGAGGGACCUUCAGAAGAAGUUAUUCAUCUCCUACAUGUAAAAAAAUUGAGCUUCACUCAAAUCCAUCAGGGGAUCUGUGAAAGUUUGUCACAGAUUAUGUGUUGAUGUUGGCACGGUUACUUAGAGGGUACAUUAUUGAUAAAAGUUAAAUAUUUAAUCUUUCUUCACUGUCUCUAAACAAAACUGGCAUUUACCUACCAGGAGGCUGAAAGUUCAGCCUUUUCAAUAUUGUAGCAAGGACACAUGCUGGUAAUUUCCCUCAGAAGAAAAUAAAUAACACAUCCUCUCUGCAGCUGUGACAGACGAAAAGUCACAGCGUUUACUGUCUGGAAGUCCAGAGAGGUCCUGGGCUGGCACGGAGGACCACGUGUGCCUCGCUGGGGGUGCAGCAACAGAUACACCAAAGCAGAUGGAGUGACUGCUUCAAACCUGCCUCUCUGUCUCUCUUAGAAGCCAAGUCCAACCCAUUCGAUUAGCUGAAUGCAGGUGUUUGAGUGUGUUUGUGAUUUAAUUAUUCAUAACAUCAGCUUCAUAUUUUAUGGAUUAUUCUGCAUCAGUUCUGGUACUUGCCUCAUGCAUUAUGCAUGCACCUGAAUCUGUUCUGGGGGGGGUGAAGCAUAAGAGACAAAGUAUGCUGCUCACCUGUGUGCUUCUGAUUACCAAGGAACACCUCUCACCCAGAGAUGAAUCGAAUUCCAGUUGUGUACUCCUUUGUCCUGUAAAUGCACUUUGAAUUUUCCCAAACAAAUGAAAGGUGGGUUUUUUUCCUCUUUUCCUUCACCCAAACUCUUCUAAUUUGACUUUUAUGGUUAUGGCUUAUAACAAAACAUCUUCCAUUACAAAAGUUUUUUUUUCUGGUUACCAGUGUUCCAGCUCAGAAGCACUGUCUCCUAAAAAUUAUAGCAAAGGCCUCUUAAAAUAAGUAUCUCUGAAAGAUGCAAAUUCAUCAAGUAUCAAGGCUCAAAACACAGGACAAUGCAUAAUAAAUUGCUGUUAAACUGUACUAGGAGGCAGAGAAGGCAAGGAUGUAAUCUGUUUUGAUCAUGCUAAUACAGCUCACUGCAGAGAAGACAUGACAACUUAUUGGCAAAUUUCCGUAGAAACCCAAGCAAGAGUUGUGGAGGGAGUUAAUUGCUAAUUGGUUCAUUGUGUCACAUAUCUCAUUAGCAAUCCUGCAUUCCUUGGUUCUCUUUUCAAAUGUAAAUCUACGCCAGACCCUUUUUCCCAACAGACUGAAUUUUUCAAAGAUGAUGUGGAGCAAAGGGACUGUAGAGUUGUCCUAAUCGAGGAGGAAACAGCUUUAUGGCACAGGGAGAGCUCAGCUGGGAUUGGGGACACACUGGUAUGGGCAGGCUGUUGCUGCAGCCAUGUUCCUCCUUGCUGGCAUGAAACAAGCUCAGAGAGCGCUGUCACCUCCUGAAAGUCAAAGCCACCUCCUCUAAUUGUCACUCGGGGCUGGCUCUGACUUCACGUGGUGCCUGGUGCCAGGCGCUGCACACGGGGCCAUCCACCAAGUGAGCUCAGUGCAGCCACUGCGAGCAGCCCACUGGAGACCCCUGGCCACUGCCUGAAGCCCAGGGGCAAGGAUGGGGGAAGAGGGCAUCUAACACAGUUCACUUCAAACUGUUCAAAAGAGGUUGGCAGGUUGGUUUUUUUUUUAUUUUUUGUUUUUUUUCCCUUUCAUAAAACCUUCAACAGUUUCUCACCUGGAGCAGGAAACUUGACAGGUAGAAGUUUCAGAUAUGCCCAAAUGAUUUAAGAGCCUAAAGACGUGUGCUGACAAAGCCCUGUCCAAGAGGUACCAGUAAACGAGGGAUUUACCUCCAGCACAGCGCUGUGCCACCUCAGCUGUCCUGUGCUGCAGCAGUGGGUGCCAGCCCGGGGUCCUGCUCUGCUCCGUGCUAGCUCGGGGGGUUGGCAUCACGCUCCACCACCUGCAAUCUGACAUCACGCAAAUCCCCCAAUUCUGAACUCCGUUUGGAAAAGGGGACUUGGGGAUUUAGACCACGAAAGCCGCUGUGAAAGAGCUACUCUGAAAGCAACAAAACCUGAAGUUCUUCAGCUACUCUGACAAGGCUGCGGAGGAAACCGCUUCCUAGGCAGUUCCUAACAGCGCUCGUUGAUCGUAAGCGUUUCUGAGCCUGUCUGUCCACCCUGGCUGCCCGCGACAAAUGUGCUCUGCCUGGCUAUUCUCACUCUGCCUCUUGUGCAGAGAGCCCCACGGCGAGGUGAGCCUGGCUCAGACAUCCCCGUGGAGGGUGGGGAGCUCGUACCCGGCACGGCAGCCCGCAGGGGAGCAGUGCAGGAGCCGGUGGGUGACUUGACUAAAGCCAAGCCUGGAAACACAGACCUUCCCACAAGGACACAGUGAGCAGCAGAGAUUGUUCAUAAAGUCUUUUCA